Molecule: non-coding RNA, 21 nt
Organism: Caenorhabditis elegans
Lineage: Eukaryota; Metazoa; Nematoda; Chromadorea; Rhabditida; Rhabditidae
Source: Ensembl
UGUUGUGAAAGGAAAUUCAAA